CAGCAUACUGCCGUGAAUACGUUCCCGGGCCUUGUACACACCGCCCGUCACGCCAUGAGAGUUGGAAAUACCCGAAGCCUGUGAGCUAACAGUAAUGAGGCAGCAGUCGAAGGUAGAGCCAAUGAUUGGGGUGAAGUCGUAACAAGGUAGC
This 151-nucleotide ribosomal RNA is filed under the name uncultured bacterium. RNAcentral describes it as "partial 16S ribosomal RNA". It matches the Rfam family "Bacterial small subunit ribosomal RNA", at positions 1350 to 1500 of the family's 1533-position model. The record is from RNAcentral.